GAAGAGCUGGAGAAAGUGUCUGGGGAGAGGGAGACUGCUUAGACUGCUGCCCCCGCGACCCGGCCCCGGAUAAGCGGUAGAAGAGGGAUGGAUGGAUGGACGGAUGGAUGGAUAAAUGUUUAAAGAGUCUCCUAUUAUUGAACAAUGGGCCGAGUGCUAAAGACGACACGUAUGCAGCUCUAGACUCCACAGGCUGGGCAGCUGAUGAUGUGUAUCACACACUUGCAAACACUGGGCCGAGUGCUAAAGACGACACGUAUGCAGCUCUAGACUCCACAUGCCGGGCAGCUGAUGAUGUGUAUCACACACUUGCAAUUUCUCAUCCCAGUCCUCCUGCUGACGCAUCCACAUCCUCUGAU
Tachysurus fulvidraco (yellow catfish) is the source of this 359-nucleotide long non-coding RNA. RefSeq lists it as uncharacterized. The record is from RefSeq and is a predicted model, not a curated record. NCBI's taxonomy places the organism in Eukaryota, Metazoa, Chordata, Actinopteri, Siluriformes, Bagridae. The transcript is spliced from 4 exons.